This 97-nucleotide non-coding RNA is filed under the name Cyanothece sp. RNAcentral's name for it is "TPP sequence". It matches the Rfam family "TPP riboswitch aptamer (THI element)". From Rfam's summary of the family: Vitamin B(1) in its active form thiamin pyrophosphate (TPP) is an essential coenzyme that is synthesised by coupling of pyrimidine and thiazole moieties in bacteria. The previously detected thiamin-regulatory element, thi box was extended, resulting in a new, highly conserved RNA secondary structure, the THI element, which is widely distributed in eubacteria and also occurs in some archaea. Analysis of operon structures identified a large number of new candidate thiamin-regulated genes, mostly transporters, in various prokaryotic organisms. Lineage: Bacteria; Bacillati; Cyanobacteriota; Cyanophyceae; Gomontiellales; Cyanothecaceae. The record is from RNAcentral.
AGCUCAAGCUAGGGGUGCCUAAAGUGGCAGGCUGAGAUUAGACCCUUAGAACCUGAGACCGGGUCAUACCGGCGGAGGGAAGCUUUUACUUUGAGGA